Molecule: ribosomal RNA, 253 nt
Filed under: uncultured bacterium
Lineage: Bacteria
Description: partial 16S ribosomal RNA
Rfam family: Bacterial small subunit ribosomal RNA
Source: RNAcentral
UACGUAGGGUGCGAGCGUUAAUCGGAAUUACUGGGCGUAAAGCGUGCGUAGGCGGUUCGUUGUGUCUGUGGUGAAAGCCCCGGGCUUAACCUGGGAAUGGCCAUGGAAACUGGCGAGCUGGAGUGUGGCAGAGGGGGGUGGAAUUCCGCGUGUAGCAGUGAAAUGCGUAGAGAUGCGGAGGAACACCGAUGGCGAAGGCAGCCCCCUGGGUUGACACUGACGCUCAGGCACGAAAGCGUGGGGAGCAAACAGG